UGGAGCAUGAUUCAUGAUUCGUACCGUUCGUUCUCUCAGCCUACUACUACUAAACGCAUCCCAUUUGCGCGGUAGGCUGGCGAACGAAAUUCAACGUUGAAUCGUCUCCAGUAAACAAGAAACCCGCGCCAUUGCGCGGGUUUUUUU
RNAcentral lists this small RNA (147 nucleotides) under Lelliottia amnigena. RNAcentral's name for it is "Leucine operon leader". It matches the Rfam family "Leucine operon leader". Rfam says of the family: At least 6 amino acid operons are known to be regulated by attenuation. In each a leader sequence of 150-200 bp is found upstream of the first gene in the operon. Lineage: Bacteria; Pseudomonadati; Pseudomonadota; Gammaproteobacteria; Enterobacterales; Enterobacteriaceae. The record is from RNAcentral.